AAAUCUGAGACAGCCUUGGUCUGAGGGAGCAAAGACAGAGAAUUCACGUGCUGCCCAGGCAUAGCCACAUAGCAGGUGGACAUCCCUGGACACUUUUCUGGCUUUGGUAUCAGAAUGAUGCUGGCCUCAUAAAAUGAGUUAGGGAGGAUUCCCUCUUUUUCUAUUGAUUGGAAUAGUUUCAGAAGGAAUGGUACCAGUCCCUCCUUGUACCUCUGGUAGAAUUCGGCUGUGAAUCCAUCUGGUCCUGGACUCUUUUU
This 257-nucleotide non-coding RNA is filed under the name Pan troglodytes (chimpanzee). Lineage: Eukaryota; Metazoa; Chordata; Mammalia; Primates; Hominidae. The record is from RNAcentral.